Long non-coding RNA from Lineus longissimus, 750 nucleotides. RefSeq lists it as uncharacterized. The transcript is spliced from 2 exons. The record is from RefSeq and is a predicted model, not a curated record. NCBI's taxonomy places the organism in Eukaryota, Metazoa, Nemertea, Pilidiophora, Heteronemertea, Lineidae.
UUUCAUUAGAACAGAGACAAGGAGAGGAACAACAUCGUUUGGCUAGGACAAGAAAGAGGUUCGAGAAUGUCGUCUGCUUGCUGUGUAUUCCUUGUCGUCACUUUGGCUGUCUUGACAUUAUCUGAUGGGCGUCCAAAUCGCAGCGGUUCAAGGUCAGGUUUAACCCCACUGCCCAAGCAAAAAGUACACGUUGGCUCUGGAGCAGGAAUGACUGAGACUGUCACUCAGGCACCAUCCAACAUCACCCGACGAUACCCAAACAGGGGAGGUGCACCGGGCUCUGGGCAAGAGCGUUUCCUUCCCAGCGGCAAACCACCGCAGGGAUCUGGUGCUGGACCUCUAAAGCGCAGAGGAUAGGGAAGAACCGCAUAAGUCGAGUCUGUCUCCCUGGAGCUGGUGGCGGGACGCGGGACUAUUUUAGAUCGUGAAGCCAAUAAGCUUAUCUAGUGUAUCGAUAAUUUCUCGCAGAAUCAAAAACGAUGUAUCAGGACUUUACUCCAUAAUAAUUUAGCUCCUUUCACUGCACAACCUUAUUUGAGUCCUAACGCAAAACUGGGAUGUGUGUCUUUCAUUAUAUUGGAUGUUCUAGUACGCUACUUCAAUUCCACUUCAGCGUCGCUAUUCCCAGGCGCUCUCGGUAAAGACCCGAGACUUCUGCCACAGCUAGACUGAACAUUGAACAUUCCUUCACGUGAUGCGGAAGUGAUGUUUUAGGUUUAGAUGUAUCAGUAAAUAAAUGCCUGAAUAAAU